RNAcentral lists this long non-coding RNA (1223 nucleotides) under Homo sapiens (human). RNAcentral's name for it is "epigenetically induced MYC interacting lncRNA 1". The record is from RNAcentral. Lineage: Eukaryota; Metazoa; Chordata; Mammalia; Primates; Hominidae.
GGACGAGGCCCACCCACCUUGGGGAGGGGCCAGCUGCUGUGUUCAGUCCGCCAUUGCAAACACGAAGCUCUUCCAGAAACGCCCUCACAGACACCCCGGAAGUCACGUACCCACUCUGUAGGUGCCCCGGGGCACAGGCAAGCGGACGAGCCAGUUAUCCCUCAGAGCUCCUGCUGCCUCGCCCGCUUUCUCUCGGAAACGUGAAGUGUGGCCUCAGCUGAAAGUGAGGUGGGCCUCAUUCAAUCAGUUGAAUUCUUCAAGAGAGAAAAACUGAAGUCCCUUAGAAGGAAAGAGUUCUGCCUUCAGACUGUCUUUGAACUUAAGACUGUAGCGUCGACUCCUGCCGGAAUUUCCAGCCUGCUGGCCAGCUCUGCAGAUUCACACUUGCCAGCCUCCACAAUCGCAGCUGAGGCGGAGGAACCCUAAGGGCUCAUUGAGAUCAUGGAUUUGCCCUUCUAUGCAUUGAUGGAGCACCUGCUGCCCACAGCGUCUGUAUUUGGUGCUGGGAUGCUGAGCCUCCUUCUUUAUGAAUUUUUAAAAGGACACUGAGAUCUUCAAACAGAGGCUGCCACUCUAAGCAAACAGAUCCCGAGCCCUGGACUCUGAAGCUUGGGCCCAGUUCUCCUUUUCUCCGGGUUUCAGAUCCCACUGUGAAGUGAGGGGGCCCUUCUGAUUCAGGACCCGGGGAAGCCAGGGGCAUGAGCAUCGGUGCCUCUUCUCUAUUUCAAGGACCCUUCUGGGUGUAAAGUUCUCUGAGAUGCCUUACAUGGAUUCCCACCACUGCAAGAUAACCAUCGUAUGUAAAGUGUUAUGACCAGCAGAGCGUAAUUGAAGUGCAUUCCAGAGGGAAAGACAGCGGCUCAGAUGAGGCUUCAGGCUUGACCAAAUCUGACUGGCUGGCUGCCGGAGACACUGCUACCCAUCGGCCCUUAAUAAAUGGCCUCAUUUGAUCAUCAUGUGAUCUUCAGAAGCUGGGCUUGAUUAUCCUUGCCAAACAAAAUGCUGAAACCAAAAAUCUGAAAGUGAAGGAAAGACCCUGGCUUUCCUCCCCAGCUCCAAGUGGGCUGUUCUGAUUGCUUCCGGGUCCUGUCCUCAUGGGGAGCAGCACCACGGGAGACUCUGCCUCUGCUGAGUUUUCUAACAUUAGUGUCGGGAAACAAGAAUCUGCCACUGAUGCUCCUUUUGUAAAGGUAUAAACAUGUAUAUAAAGGAACACCCCAGCA